GUCGAACGCUCCGCAAGAGAGUGGCAGACGGUGAGUAACACGUGGGAAUCUUCCUAUCGGUACGGAAUAGCUCAGGGAAACUUGAGGUAAUACCGCAUACGCCCUUCGGGGGAAAGAUUUAUCGCCGAUAGAUGAGCCCGCGUCUGAUUAGCUAGUUGGUGGGGUAAUGGCCUACCAAGGCGACGAUCAGUAGCUGGUCUGAGAGGAUGACCAGCCACACUGGGACUGAGACACGGCCCAGACUCCUACGGGAGGCAGCAGUGGGGAAUAUUGGACAAUGGGCGCAAGCCUGAUCCAGCCAUGCCGCGUGAGUGACGAAGGUCUUCGGAUUGUAAAGCUCUUUUGCCAGGGACGAUAAUGACGGUACCUGGAGAAUAAGCCCCGGCUAACUUCGUGCCAGCAGCCGCGGUAAUACGAAGGGGGCUAGCGUUGUUCGGAAUUACUGGGCGUAAAGCGCACGUAGGCGGAUUUGUUAGUCAGGGGUGAAAUCCCGGGGCUCAACCUCGGAACUGCCUUUGAUACUGCAAGUCUAGAGUCCGGAAGAGGUGAGUGGAAUUCCUAGUGUAGAGGUGAAAUUCGUAGAUAUUAGGAAGAACACCAGUGGCGAAGGCGGCUCACUGGUCCGGUACUGACGCUGAG
RNAcentral lists this ribosomal RNA (639 nucleotides) under uncultured bacterium. Its description in RNAcentral is "bacterial SSU rRNA". It matches the Rfam family "Bacterial small subunit ribosomal RNA", at positions 61 to 750 of the family's 1533-position model. The record is from RNAcentral.